GAUCAACGCUGGCGGCGUGCAUGAGUCAUGCAAGUCGAACGAAGGAUCGGGCUUGCUCGAUCCUUAGUGGCGGACGGCUGAGUAACGCGUAGGUGACCUACCCCGAAGUGGGGAAUAACUGCCCGAAAGGGCGGCUAAUACCGCAUGUGGUCGCACGUUCAUUCGUGCGAGUAAAGCCGCAAGGCGCUUCGGGAGGGGCCUGCGUCCGAUUAGCUCGUUGGUGGGGUAAUGGCUUACCAAGGCGACGAUCGGUAGGUGGUCUGAGAGGACGAUCACCCAGACUGGGACUGAGACACGGCCCAGACUCCUACGGGAGGCAGCAGUCGGGAAUUUUGCACAAUGGGGGAAAGCCUGAAGCAGCAACGCCGCGUGAGUGAUGAAGGCCUUAGGGUUGUAAAGCUCUUUUGCCAGGGAUGAUAAUGACGGUACCGGGAGAAUAAGCCACGGCUAACUACGUG
This 458-nucleotide ribosomal RNA is filed under the name uncultured bacterium. RNAcentral's name for it is "partial 16S ribosomal RNA". It matches the Rfam family "Bacterial small subunit ribosomal RNA", at positions 28 to 507 of the family's 1533-position model. The record is from RNAcentral.